AGUGAACGCUGGCGGUAGGCCUAACACAUGCAAGUCGAACGGCAGCACAGUAAGAGCUUGCUCUUACGGGUGGCGAGUGGCGGACGGGUGAGGAAUACAUCGGAAUCUACUUUUUCGUGGGGGAUAACGUAGGGAAACUUACGCUAAUACCGCAUACGACCUACGGGUGAAAGCAGGGGAUCUUCGGACCUUGCGCGAUUGAAUGAGCCGAUGUCGGAUUAGCUAGUUGGCGGGGUAAAGGCCCACCAAGGCGACGAUCCGUAGCUGGUGUGAGAGGAUGGUAGCCGCCCUUGGAGGUGGAACAGCGUCACUGGACCUGAGGGACGGCGCAGAGUGGUAUGGGGGGCAGCAGGGGGGAACAUUGCACAAUGGGAGCGAGCGGGAUAAGGAGACCUUGGGGUUGGAAAGACGUCUUGCGGGGAGAGAACAGCUUCAGCUUGAGACGACGCGGGUGUGACGGUACCGAAAGAAGAAGCACCGGCUAACUACGUG
Molecule: ribosomal RNA, 492 nt
Filed under: uncultured bacterium
Lineage: Bacteria
Description: partial 16S ribosomal RNA
Rfam family: Bacterial small subunit ribosomal RNA
Source: RNAcentral